GUAGUAACACGUGGGUGAUCUGCCCUGCACUUCGGGAUAAGCCUGGGAAACUGGGUCUAAUACCGGAUAGGACCACAUUUUGGAUGGUGUGGUGGAAAGUUUUUCGGUGUGGGAUGAGCUCGCGGCCUAUCAGCUUGUUGGUGGGGUAAUGGCCUACCAAGGCGUCGACGGGUAGCCGGCCUGAGAGGGUGUACGGCCACAUUGGGACUGAGAUACGGCCCAG
This 223-nucleotide ribosomal RNA is filed under the name uncultured Actinomycetales bacterium. RNAcentral describes it as "partial 16S ribosomal RNA". It matches the Rfam family "Bacterial small subunit ribosomal RNA", at positions 108 to 334 of the family's 1533-position model. The record is from RNAcentral. Lineage: Bacteria; Bacillati; Actinomycetota; Actinomycetes; Actinomycetales.